UGUCUGGGUUAUGUCUAAUUCUGUCCUGCCUGUAUUCUUCCUGCAGCUGAUGGGAAACCAGCGGGGUGUGUGUGGUGAUCUGGGCGUCCACCUGCAGGUUCCAGUGACAUAAAUGUUUGGAAGUUCUUGGCAAACGGGGAAAGGUUGUUACCAGAAAUAAUGGAUUUUAAUCUGGUUUCUUAUUCCAGCCAGGCUGAUUUAUCUGGGCCGCUCGAGGGACGACCAGCCAAUGCGGAAAGAUCGGCAGCAGGAAGCAGCUUAACUGAGCCGUGAAUCUUCUUACGGUUCUGCUAAACGGUGACACAAACGAGACACACGAAGCAGGCUGUGUCCAACACGCACACAAAGCUGAAGAUGCAACUGCCUUCACCAAGCAAGCUUGCCUGAUUGUCCACAACACCAAGUGCUGGAGCUGUGCUGCAUCCCUGAUGCACCAGUAAAUAAACAGUAAACAGAUUCUGCUCAUGAAGGAUGUAGAGUUAAAAGAGUUGCACUCACAACAGUGGCUGUGAAGAAUUAUAACAAGGAACAGCAGAUGCCGGGUUAAGGAAGACACAAAGUGCUGGAGUAACUCAAUGGGUCAGGAAGCCUCU
Long non-coding RNA from Amblyraja radiata (thorny skate), 593 nucleotides. RefSeq lists it as uncharacterized. Lineage: Eukaryota; Metazoa; Chordata; Chondrichthyes; Rajiformes; Rajidae. The transcript has 3 exons. The record is from RefSeq and is a predicted model, not a curated record.